CUUCUUCCCAUUCUCACCAACAAAUUACAAUAAUCUCAAAUUGUAAUUUUUGUAACAUACUUCGAAUAAGCUCAAGAUAGCUGUGGGAAAUCAUGUCACUUUCAGGCUCUUCUUUCUUCACCAUUAAUUUACCUAAUUUCCUUCCUCCAGGUUAGGUCAGGUUUAUGUAUAGGCUCUACUUUUUGUCUGUCUCUCUACACUACCUUUCUUCCAACAGAGAAUUAUAUUCAUACCCAUUUUUUAAGGAUGAGUUCCAUUCAGUUGGGUUCGAUUGGGUUCCAGAAUUCUAUGGUGAAAAGUGUUGGUGAAAGGUUGGAUAUGGAUAUUGAUAACUGGAGACGUUUAAACAAAGCAGUAAGCAAGCGGCUGGGGAGGGGUCCAAAUCUAGACAGUCAUAUUCUUUUUUCUUUCCUUUAAUUAAUUUAUUUACAUUUGUUACUAUAUAUCCCAAACUUUGCAUUUAUUUUCGAAAUUCUAUUGGAAUUUGGUAUUUCUGUA
Molecule: long non-coding RNA, 498 nt
Organism: Cucumis melo (muskmelon)
Lineage: Eukaryota; Viridiplantae; Streptophyta; Magnoliopsida; Cucurbitales; Cucurbitaceae
Exons: 2
Source: RefSeq, a predicted model, not a curated record